CUGCCCGCGACUUCCCGAGAAUUCCAUUGAACCUUAUCUUUUAAAGGAAGGAAAAUUCUUAACAGGGUUUCCGUAGGUGAACCUGCGGAAGGAUCAUUGUCAAAUCCCGAACAAAAAACCCGCAAACAUUUUAAAAUAUCCGCGUCGGGCGUCGGGGAAAAACGGGGCCCCCCUCCCCCCCCCCCSCGGCCGAUCGGCCGACGGUCGCGCCGGGCAACNAAAACAAAAAUCGGCGCGGGAAGCGCCAAGCAAUUGCGAAAUGGGAUGCCUUCUCGCGGGGAGGGCCGUUCGCGGAACCCUCGCCGCGGGGCUCAAAGGGCGCCUUAAAAACACGACUCUCGGCAACGGAUAUCURGGCUCUCGCAUCGAUGAAGAACGUAGCAAACUGCGAUACUUGGUGUGAAUUGCAGAAUCCCGUGAACCAUCGAGUCUUUGAACGCAAGUUGCGCCCGAAGCCAUUAGGCCGAGGGCACGCCUGCCUGGGCGUCACGCAUCGCGUCGCCCCCCCUCGCCCCCGUCCCGAGAGGGCCGCGGGCAGAGCGGAGGGGCGGAAGUUGUGCUCCCCGUGCACCGUCGCGGCCAGCCUAAAACAAGGUUCCCUCGCCGCGGACGUCGCGACAAGUGGUGGUCGUCGAGAUUGAACGGGUGUUGUCGGCAAGCCGCGUCGAGGCGAGCGUUUGGACCCCGUGCGCGAGAGUCCCCCGUUUGUCGAGGGACGAUCGCCACGACCGCGACCCCAGGUCMGGCGGGGCUACCCGCUGAGUUUAAGCAUAUC
This 775-nucleotide small RNA is filed under the name Amalocalyx microlobus. RNAcentral's name for it is "eukaryotic LSU rRNA". The stretch from base 334 to 489 matches the Rfam family "5.8S ribosomal RNA". Lineage: Eukaryota; Viridiplantae; Streptophyta; Magnoliopsida; Gentianales; Apocynaceae. The record is from RNAcentral.